This 72-nucleotide transfer RNA is filed under the name Felis catus (domestic cat). It matches the Rfam family "tRNA". From Rfam's summary of the family: Transfer RNA (tRNA) molecules are approximately 80 nucleotides in length. Their secondary structure includes four short double-helical elements and three loops (D, anti-codon, and T loops). Further hydrogen bonds mediate the characteristic L-shaped molecular structure. tRNAs have two regions of fundamental functional importance: the anti-codon, which is responsible for specific mRNA codon recognition, and the 3' end, to which the tRNAs corresponding amino acid is attached (by aminoacyl-tRNA synthetases). tRNAs cope with the degeneracy of the genetic code in two manners: having more than one tRNA (with a specific anti-codon) for a particular amino acid; and 'wobble' base-pairing, i.e. permitting non-standard base-pairing at the 3rd anti-codon position. The record is from Rfam by way of RNAcentral. Lineage: Eukaryota; Metazoa; Chordata; Mammalia; Carnivora; Felidae.
GCCUGGCUAGUUCAGUUAGUGGAGCAUGUGACUCUUGAUCUCAAGUUGUAAGUUCAAAUCCCACGUUAGGUA